RNAcentral lists this ribosomal RNA (398 nucleotides) under uncultured cyanobacterium. RNAcentral describes it as "bacterial SSU rRNA". It matches the Rfam family "Bacterial small subunit ribosomal RNA", at positions 381 to 796 of the family's 1533-position model. Lineage: Bacteria; Bacillati; Cyanobacteriota. The record is from RNAcentral.
UCCAGAGGCACACGCCGCGUGAGGGAGGAGGUCUUUGGAUUGUAAACCUCUUUUCUCAAGGAAGAAGUUCUGACGGUACUUGAGGAAUCAGCCUCGGCUAACUCCGUGCCAGCAGCCGCGGUAAUACGGGGGAGGCAAGCGUUAUCCGGAAUUAUUGGGCGUAAAGCGUCCGCAGGUGGUCAGCCAAGUCUGCCGUCAAAUCAGGUUGCUUAACGACCUAAAGGCGGUGGAAACUGGCAGACUAGAGAGCAGUAGGGGUAGCAGGAAUUCCCAGUGUAGCGGUGAAAUGCGUAGAGAUUGGGAAGAACAUCGGUGGCGAAAGCGUGCUACUGGGCUGUAUCUGACACUCAGGGACGAAAGCUAGGGGAGCGAAUGGGAUUAGAUACCCCCUGUAGUCA